This 253-nucleotide ribosomal RNA is filed under the name uncultured bacterium. Its description in RNAcentral is "partial 16S ribosomal RNA". It matches the Rfam family "Bacterial small subunit ribosomal RNA", at positions 524 to 776 of the family's 1533-position model. The record is from RNAcentral.
UACAGAGGCCUCGAGCGUUAGGCGGAAUCACUGGGCUUAAAGCGUGUGUAGGUGGAUGCCUAAGUACCUUGUGAAAUCCCACAGCUUAACUGUGGAAUUGCUGGGUAUACUGGGUGUCUUGAGCCACUCAGGGGCUACCGGAACAAAUGGUGGAGCGGUGAAAUGCGUAGAUAUCAUUUGGAACGCCAAUGGUGAAAACAGGUAGCUGGGGGUGUGCUGACACUGAGACACGAAAGCCAGGGGAGCAAACGGG